AAAUAAUUUAAACUAAUUAAAAUUCUGUAAAAUGUUGCACUUGUUCCAUGCAUAUACUGUAUAUCCCUGAUAUUAAAGCACAGUUUGUUCUGCUUCUCCAAUUCAGGAUCAAGGGGGUAGGGCGGGGUGCUGGAGCCUAUCCUAGCUAUCACAACGUGAAAGGUGGGGUACGCCCUGGACAGGCCAAUCUGUUGCAGGACCAAAACAUAGAGAAAAACAAGUAUUCACUCACACGUGGUCAACUUAGAAUCACCAGUUGCCCUAACCUCCUGCACAUCUUUGGACUGUGGGGGGAAGCCCGCACAGAACCCACAUACGCAAACUGCACACACAAAGACCCCCAGAUUGGAUUUGAACCCAUCUUGCUCUGUGGUGCCAGUGCUAGCCACUGUGCCACCCUGAGUUAGAUUAUAUAAAAGAAUAGUGUAAAGUUAGAAAAAAGAAAUUAAGUGCUGAUAUAUAAGGACCAGAAUGUGGAAGUAAACGCUAUGUGCCAUGGUAACUAUGGUAAAUCUAACUGGAAAAAAACAAAACAAAAGCUUAGUCACAAAUAUAAAGAAAAGAAAGAAGAUGACUACAGGCUGCAGUGGUACUCUCAGUCUUGCACGCACACACAUACAGACAGCUUCCAAGAGGCUGAUGUACACAGACCUCUGUGUACAUCAGGGAGCAGCCAUAACAGACAGAUGUGAAGUACAUUACAGAUACAACAGAUCACAUGACCCAAGUCUUCCCACACAAACCUCUUUUCUCCAGAGAGACUCUUCUAGAGAGUAUUUAAAGAUUCAGACAAAAAAAAGAGAGAUGAGAAUAUAAACACCUCUGCGUACAGUGUGAUUUAAGAUUAUUGCAGAUGAAUGCAAAUAUUAAUUUUAAAUUCGCUGUGAUAAUCCCCUCAUCCGUCCCCCAGAAAUUGAAGAAUAAUUUGGAGCGGAGGAGUGUGUGUGAGUGUGCAGGCAAACUAAACUCACAUCCUUCUGCGUUAUUCUGCACUCUGUCACAGAGGAAGCUGCAGAGACAAUACAGCCCACAGUGCACCAUGGCCUCAUACAGCAAUCCUUUACAUCUCCACUAGAUUAAUGCCACGAGACAAAUGCACUUCCACUGG
Molecule: long non-coding RNA, 1108 nt
Organism: Astatotilapia calliptera (eastern happy)
Lineage: Eukaryota; Metazoa; Chordata; Actinopteri; Cichliformes; Cichlidae
Source: Ensembl